RNAcentral lists this ribosomal RNA (735 nucleotides) under uncultured Fusobacterium sp. RNAcentral describes it as "bacterial SSU rRNA". It matches the Rfam family "Bacterial small subunit ribosomal RNA", at positions 28 to 776 of the family's 1533-position model. The record is from RNAcentral. Lineage: Bacteria; Fusobacteriati; Fusobacteriota; Fusobacteriia; Fusobacteriales; Fusobacteriaceae.
GAUGAACGCUGACCGAAUGCUUAACACAUGCAAGUCAACUUGAAUUUGGGUUUUUAACUUAGAUUUGGGUGGCGGACGGGUGAGUAACGCGUAAAGAACUUGCCUCACAGCUAGGGACAACAUUUAGAAAUGAAUGCUAAUACCUGAUAUUAUGAUUUUAAGGCAUCUUAGAAUUAUGAAAGCUAUAAGCACUGUGAGAGAGCUUUGCAUCCCAUUAGCUAGUUGGAGAGGUAACAGCUCACCAAGGCGAUGAUGGGUAGCCGGCCUGAGAGGGUGAACGGCCACAAGGGGACUGAGACACGGCCCUUACUCCUACGGGAGGCAGCAGUGGGGAAUAUUGGACAAUGGACCGAGAGUCUGAUCCAGCAAUUCUGUGUGCACGAUGAAGUUUUUCGGAAUGUAAAGUGCUUUCAGUUGGGAAGAAAGAAAUGACGGUACCAACAGAAGAAGUGACGGCUAAAUACGUGCCAGCAGCCGCGGUAAUACGUAUGUCACGAGCGUUAUCCGGAUUUAUUGGGCGUAAAGCGCGUCUAGGUGGUUAUGUAGGUCUGAUGUGAAAAUGCAGGGCUCAACUCUGUAUUGCGUUGGAAACUGUAUAACUAGAGUACUGGAGAGGUAAGCGGAACUACAAGUGUGGAGGUGAAAUUCGUAGAUAUUUGUAGGAAUGCCGAUGGGGAAGCCAGCUUACUGGACAGAUACUGACGCUAAAGCGCGAAAGCGUGGGUAGCAAACAGG